Long non-coding RNA from Catharus ustulatus (Swainson's thrush), 1110 nucleotides. RefSeq lists it as uncharacterized. The transcript is spliced from 2 exons. NCBI's taxonomy places the organism in Eukaryota, Metazoa, Chordata, Aves, Passeriformes, Turdidae. The record is from RefSeq and is a predicted model, not a curated record.
CUCCAGGGCUGGGCUGAGCCGGUUUUGGAGCUUUUAUCUCCCUCUGGAGAGCGGCUCCAUCAGCUCCGGCAUCAUCUCAGCAUCCUGAGCGGAGCCAGGCGGGCGGGGACGGGAGGACGCAGCAGCAGCUCUGCCCCAAAAUCCCAGUUUAAACCCAGCCUAAACCCCAAAUUCCAGCCUAAACCCCAUCCCUGCCCUACCACCCCCCUCCCUCACCAUGCUGGACAUUUUCAUCCUGAUGUUUUUCGCCAUCAUCGGCCUGGUGAUCCUGUCCUACAUCAUUUACAUGCUCUGAGGAUGCGGGAGAUGCGGCUCGGCAGCAGCCGGGAGGCGGCCGGCCUCCGCCCGGUUCGGGUCCCUCGGAGCCCUGUGGAGCAGCGUUAACCCCUGCGAGCCCAGCGCGGAGCACGGAGCGCUCACGGAGCCGCCGGGACCGGAGAGGGGGGGGACACGGGAGGGGGCUCCGAGGAGCUGCCAGGACCCGGCUAAUCCCCCUGCCAGGACCUGUGUCCUUCCCCUGCCAGGACCUGAGUCCUUCCCUCUGCCGGGACCCGGCUAAUCCUCCUGCCGGGACCUGUGUCCUUCUCCCUGCCAGGACCUGAGUCCUUUCCCCUGCCAGGACCUGAGUCCUUCCCCCUGCUGGGACCCGGCAAAUCCUCCUUCCAGGACCUGUGUCCUUCCCCUGCCAGGACCCGGCUAAUCCUCCUUCCAGGACCUGUGUCCUUACCCUGCCAGGACCUGUGUCCUUACCCUGCCAGGACCUGAGUCCUUUCCCCUGCAGGACCUGAGUCCUUCUUCCUGCCAGGACCUGUGUCCUUCCCCCUGCCAGGACCCGAGCUUCCCCCUGCCAGGACCUGGGGCUCUCCCGGUGACGCUGGCGGUGUCCCCAGGGGGUGUGAGGGCUCCUGUCCCCCCCUCUGUGUCCUGUCCCCCCUCUGUGUCCUGUCCCCCCCUCUGUGUCCUGUCCCCCUCUCUGUGUCCCGUCCCCUCGGCAUCAGCGCGUCCGAGGCCGCUCGUCUGAGCUUCAAACUCCAAAUUUCAGGAAAUCGCUUCUAUUUUUAAUGAGCAACGUCCGGGGAUGGAAUAAAGAGGAAUGACCCGGGACAGGGA